RNAcentral lists this transfer RNA (129 nucleotides) under Acaryochloris marina MBIC11017. It matches the Rfam family "tRNA". Rfam says of the family: Transfer RNA (tRNA) molecules are approximately 80 nucleotides in length. Their secondary structure includes four short double-helical elements and three loops (D, anti-codon, and T loops). Further hydrogen bonds mediate the characteristic L-shaped molecular structure. tRNAs have two regions of fundamental functional importance: the anti-codon, which is responsible for specific mRNA codon recognition, and the 3' end, to which the tRNAs corresponding amino acid is attached (by aminoacyl-tRNA synthetases). tRNAs cope with the degeneracy of the genetic code in two manners: having more than one tRNA (with a specific anti-codon) for a particular amino acid; and 'wobble' base-pairing, i.e. permitting non-standard base-pairing at the 3rd anti-codon position. The record is from Rfam by way of RNAcentral. Lineage: Bacteria; Bacillati; Cyanobacteriota; Cyanophyceae; Acaryochloridales; Acaryochloridaceae.
GGACAGUUAGUUUAACGGUAGAACGUCUGUUAUAUGAAUCUCCUGAUUCACAACUUUAUCCGUAAGGGUCGAAGAAUUAGGGUUAUCGCUAAGGAACAGAGGGUAGAGGUUCGAAUCCUCUCCUGUCCA